UCCUUAGACGUUCUGGGCCGCACGCGCGCUACACUGACCAGUGCAACAAGCAUCCGUCCUUGGCCGACAGGCUCGGGCAAUCUUUGAACGCUGGUCGUGAUGGGGAUAGACUUUUGCAAUUUUUGGUCUUCAACGAGGAAUGCCUAGUAAACGCAAGUCAUCAACUUGCAUUGAUUACGUCCCUGCCCUUUGUACACACCGCCCGUCGCACCUACCGAUUGAAUGGUCCGGUGAAGCCUCCGGAUUGGCGCGCACCUCGGUGCCGCCGAGAAGUUGGCUAAACCUUACCAUUUAGAGGAAGGUGAANUCGUAACA
RNAcentral lists this ribosomal RNA (315 nucleotides) under uncultured eukaryote. RNAcentral's name for it is "partial 18S ribosomal RNA". It matches the Rfam family "Eukaryotic small subunit ribosomal RNA", at positions 1470 to 1796 of the family's 1831-position model. The record is from RNAcentral.